RNAcentral lists this long non-coding RNA (200 nucleotides) under Sorghum bicolor (sorghum). Its description in RNAcentral is "long non-coding RNA (SBIC_LNC003134)". Lineage: Eukaryota; Viridiplantae; Streptophyta; Magnoliopsida; Poales; Poaceae. The record is from RNAcentral.
UAACCAUCAACUAAUCAUAGAAAAGGAUCCAAAUGCAACCAACACCUAGACUUAGGGUUUUAUCUGACAGAAUUCCACAAGUUUUGGUGUUUGUCUAUUUCUGCAGGGAGUUAUCAGGAAAUACGGAAGAAAGGCCCACACGUCGGGUUUACAUAGAGAUAUUAACGUGCCGCGCAAUUUUCUAUCAUCUAGAAGACUCC